GAAACACUCACAUAGUCAUGGACCAUCACGAUCUCAUGUGCCCCUGGAGCCAGCUAAUGCUCCACCGUCCUCAAUCCCGUGAUCACACAAUCAUCCUCACAAUCCGAAUCGAUCAUCAUCCCAUACCCUAUCUACACAUCCUCCCGGAUAAUCCGCUCUGACAUAGCAAUUAUCCAUGCAAGACCAGAAUAAGCAACUGUAUCGCUCGAUCCAAUCUUCGACAUAACUCGGGAAUACUCGGCCACAUCCCUCCUCACCCACCUACCCAUGACUCUCUCACGAACGUUAUAUCGCCUGGACGGCAGACCCAAGGACCCUCCCUCAUCCUCCACAGACUCCCUACCACGAGAUCUCUUUAGCGGCAUACUAUAAUACAAACAAAAAGGUUUAGACACGAAAAUAUAAGCAAAAGGGUAAGCCACCUA
This 425-nucleotide small RNA is filed under the name Arabidopsis thaliana (thale cress). RNAcentral describes it as "ATSL086410". Lineage: Eukaryota; Viridiplantae; Streptophyta; Magnoliopsida; Brassicales; Brassicaceae. The record is from RNAcentral.